CACUCUAAUCAUUCAUAAUAGUGAAUUGAUGAGUUCUUGGGAGAAUAGUAAAUGAGUUUAGUAAAGAGAAUUACACGAACUAUAGUAGGGUUUUGAAUUGUUGACUUGAGAUUGUUAUAAUGAUAUGGGUGAUGGAGAAUGAUGUUAAUUACAUCUAAUUGAGAUUGUAGAAUCACCUAGAAGUAACAUACUGGGAAUUGGGUGAAAAAACGCCAUUAAUGGAGAUUGUGGAGCUUUAUGCCCACUAAGUGUUUGAUAAAAUGCUUAGAUGACCAAAACAUGAAUAUUAUUGCUAAUAUAGAAUCCUUUUGGCUUGUAUUGAUAUAGAUCAAAGUUGAAAGGGGUGACAAACAUUGUAUUACGCUCAAAGACUGGAAUUAAGGUUGACGACUCAGCUAUUUAGGAGUGCACGUAUCAGCUACUGGUGAACCCCAAAUUUCUUCGGAGCGUUGUCAGCUAUCCAAUUAUUUCAAUUUUAUAGACAACUCUAUUAUUCAGUACUCUUAGAGGUUUCAUAGACACAAGUCAGACAGUCAGAUAUUGAUUAUGUUAGUCUUGUUGGCAGUUGUUCAAUCGUUUUGGUUUAGCCAUGUUGGCUACUGUCAGAUAUAUUUCAGAUUGUCUAAGUAUUUCCGCAUUAUGAUUUCAGUCAGACCUUUAGUAUAUCAUCAUGUGUUUAGUUGUUUC
Molecule: long non-coding RNA, 687 nt
Organism: Lycium barbarum (goji berry)
Lineage: Eukaryota; Viridiplantae; Streptophyta; Magnoliopsida; Solanales; Solanaceae
Exons: 2
Source: RefSeq, a predicted model, not a curated record